Molecule: non-coding RNA, 21 nt
Filed under: Arabidopsis thaliana (thale cress)
Lineage: Eukaryota; Viridiplantae; Streptophyta; Magnoliopsida; Brassicales; Brassicaceae
Source: RNAcentral
CUGCGUGAUAUAUGGGAUUGG